AGAGUUUGAUCCUGGCUCAGAACGAACGCUGGCGGCAGGCCUAACACAUGCAAGUCGAACGAGAAGCAUCCUUCGGGAUGUGGACAGUGGCAGACGGGUGAGUAACGCGUGGGAAUAUACCUAGAGGUACGGGACAACGCCGGGAAACUGGUGCUAAUACCGUAUAAGCCCUUCGGGGGAAAGAUUUAUCGCCUUUAGAUUAGCCCGCGUUAGAUUAGCUUGUUGGUGAGGUAAAAGCUCACCAAGGCGACGAUCUAUAGCUGGUCUGAGAGGAUGAUCAGCCACACUGGGACUGAGACACGGCCCAGACUCCUACGGGAGGCAGCAGUGGGGAAUCUUGCACAAUGGGCGAAAGCCUGAUGCAGCCAUGCCGCGUGAGUGAUGAAGGCCCUAGGGUUGUAAAACUCUUUCAGUGGGGAAGAUAAUGACGUACCCACAGAAGAAGCUCCGCUAACU
RNAcentral lists this ribosomal RNA (456 nucleotides) under uncultured bacterium. Its description in RNAcentral is "bacterial SSU rRNA". It matches the Rfam family "Bacterial small subunit ribosomal RNA", at positions 8 to 502 of the family's 1533-position model. The record is from RNAcentral.